AGAGCGCAGGGUGGAUGCCAGGGCACUGAUUGCCGACGAAGGACGCGAUAAGCUGCGAAAAGCCAUGGGGAGCCGCAAGUAGGCAUUGAUCCAUGGAUAUCCGAAUGGGGGAACCCGGCUGGGGUAAUGCCCAGUCACUCCCGGCUGAAUCAAAUAGGCCGGGCAGAGGGCACCCGGGGAAGUGAAACAUCUAAGUACCCGGAGGAGAAGAAAGAAAACUCGAUUUCCUUAGUAGUGGCGAGCGAAGAGGAAAGAGGCCAAACCGUGAGUCUGCGGACGCACGGGGUUGAGGAGCGGCGACAUGUGACGAUAGACGAGCCGAAAGAUCUGGAAAGGUCGGUCAGAGAGGGUGACAGCCCCGUAGGCGAAGUCGAAAAUAGCUAGCCGGAUCCAGAGUACCGCGGGACACGAGAAAUCCUGUGGGAAGCAGGGGGGACCACCCCCCAAGCCUAAAGACGAUCAGUGACCGAUAGCGCAUAGUACCGUGAGGGAAAGGUGAAAAGAACCCCGGGAGGGGAGUGAAAGAGAACCUGAAACCCUGUGUUUACAAGCAGAGGAAGCAAGAGAUUGCGACCUCGUACUUUUUGUAGAACGGACCGGCGAGUUACGUUAUGCAGCGAGGUUAAGAACUUAAGGUUCGGAGCCGAAGCGAGAGCGAGUCUGAAGAGGGCGAUGUAGUUGCAUGACGUAGACCCGAAACCGGGCGACCUAUCCAUGGGCAGGUUGAAGUGAAGGUAAAGCUUCAUGGAGGACCGAACCAGACGUCCGCUGAAAAGGGCGGGGAUGACCUGUGGAUAGCGGAGAAAUUCCAAUCGAGCUCGGAUAUAGCUGGUUCUCCUCGAAAUAGCUUUAGGGCUAGCCUGAGGUUAGUCUGUCGGGGGUAGAGCACUGAAUGGGCUAGGGGGUCUCAAAGCUUACCGAACCCUAUCAAACUGCGAAUACCGAACAGAUGAUGCCUUGGAGUCAGACGGCGAGUUAUAAGAUCCGUCGUCAAAAGGGAAACAGCCCAGAUCGACAGCUAAGGUCCCGAAGUGUGUGUUAAGUGGGAAAGGAUGUGCAAUUGCAUAGACAACCAGGAUGUUGGCUUAGAAGCAGCCACACAUUCAAAGAGUGCGUAAUAGCUCACUGGUCGAGUGAUUGUGCGCCGAAGAUGUAACGGGGCUAAAACACACCACCGAAGCUUCGGGCUCGGGUUCAUGAACACUGAAUUCAUGUGGAAGCAGAGCGAAACAGCUUCGCGAAUUUCCACCGCUUGCGGUGAAUCAGGAAAUUCGCCAGAUGUUUUCUCAGGGGAUAAAACACAUGAGGUUGGUGUUCAUGAACUCGAGCGGUAGAGGAGCAUAGUGCACUGGCUGAAGCGGUACCGAGAGGAGCCGUGGACGGUGCAGUAGAGAGAAUGCCGGUAUGAGUAACGAGAUGCAGGCGAGAAACCUGCACGUCGAAAGCCCAAGGUUUCCUGGGGAAGGUUCAUCCGCCCAGGGUAAGUCGGGGCCUAAGCCGAGGACAACAGUCGUAGGCGAUGGAUAACUGGUGGAGAUUCCAGUACCACCUUUAUGAGCGAAGCGCUGACACAGAAGGAUAGCAUGAGCCGGUUGAUGGUAGAGCCGGUCUAAGCGGUUAGGGGGUCGCGUAGUGAAGUACGCGCGGCGUUUGCCUGAGCCGUGAUGGGGACUGAAAUAAAAGUAGGGAAGCAUGUGAAUCCACGCUGGCAAGAAAAGGCGCUAGCAAUUGUAGGGGUGCCCGUACCGCAAACCGACGCAGGUGGGCGAGGAGAGAAUCCUAAGACGAACGAGAGAACCCUUGUUAAGGAACUCGGCAAAAUGACCCCGUAACUUCGGGAGAAGGGGUGCCUCGAAAGAGGCCGCAGAGAAUAGGCCCAAGCGACUGUUUAGCAAAAACACAGGUUUGUGCGAAAGCGAGAGCUGACGUAUACGAGCUGACGCCUGCCCGGUGCUGGAAGGUUAAGAGGAGUUGUCAUCGCAAGAGAAGCAGCGAAUUGAAGCCCCAGUAAACGGCGGCCGUAACUAUAACGGUCCUAAGGUAGCGAAAUUCCUUGUCGGGUAAGUUCCGACCCGCACGAAUGGCGUAACGACUUGGGCGCUGUCUCAACAAGGGACUCGGUGAAAUUGAAGUAUGGGUGAAGAUGCCCAUUACCCGCGACUGGACGGAAAGACCCCGUAGAGCUUUACUGCAGCUUAUCAUUGAGAAUUGGUAACGGAUGUACAGGAUAGGUGGGAGGCAAGGAAACAUCGUCGUCAGAUGGUGCGGAGCCGGCGUUGGGAUACCACUCUUCUGUUACUGGUUUUCUAACAACAUGCGAUAAUCUCGGUGAUGGACAGUGAUAGGUGGGCAGUUUGACUGGGGCGGUCGCCUCCCAAAGAGUAACGGAGGCGCCCAAAGGUUCCCUCAGAAUGGAUGGAAAUCAUUCGAAGAGUGCAAUGGCAGAAGGGAGCCUGACUGCGAGACAAACACGUCGGGCAGAGACGAAAGUCGGGCAUAGUGAUCAGGUGACAUCGAGUGGAAGAGUCAUCGCUCAACGGAUAAAAGCUACCUCGGGGAUAACAGGCUGAUCUCCCCCAAGAGUCCACAUCGACGGGGAGGUUUGGCACCUCGAUGUCGGCUCGUCGCAUCCUGGGGCUGAAGCAGGUCCCAAGGGUUUGGCUGUUCGCCAAUUAAAGCGGCACGCGAGCUGGGUUCAGAACGUCGUGAGACAGUUCGGUCCCUAUCCAUCGUGGGCGCAGGAGUCAUGAUGGGAGCUGUCCCUAGUACGAGAGGACCGGGAUGGACGCACCUCUGGUGCAACAGUUGUCGUGCCAACGGCACAGCUGGGAAGCGAAGUGCGGACGGGAUAAACGCUGAAGGCAUCUAAGCGUGAAGCCCCCCUCGAGAAAAAGUAUCCCACAGCACAAGCUGGUAAGACCCCUUGCAGACGACAAGGUUGAUAGGUUGACGGUGUAAACGCAGUGAUGCGAAAGCUUGU
RNAcentral lists this ribosomal RNA (2980 nucleotides) under human gut metagenome. Its description in RNAcentral is "bacterial LSU rRNA". It matches the Rfam family "Bacterial large subunit ribosomal RNA". The record is from RNAcentral.